AGAGUUUGAUCAUGGCUCAGAAUCAACGCUGGCGGCGCGCUUAACACAUGCAAGUCGAGCGAGAAAGGGAGCAAUCCUGAGUAAAGCGGCGUACGGGUGAGUAACACGUGGAUCAUAUACCUUUUAGUGGGGAAUACCCUUGGGAAACCGAGGACAAUACCGCAUAAUCCCGGGAGGGGAAAGCAGCAAUGCGCUGAAAGAGUAGUCCGCGGCUGAUUAGCUAGUUGGUAGGGUAAAGGCCUACCAAGGCUGUGAUCGGUAGCCGGCCUGAGAGGGCACACGGCCACACUGGCACUGAAACACGGGCCAGACUCCUACGGGAGGCAGCAGUGGGGAAUCUUGCACAAUGGACGAAAGUCUGAUGCAGCGACGCCGCGUGAGCGAUGAAGCCCUUCGGGGUGUAAAGCUCUUUCGACAGGAACGAUAAUGACGGUACCGGAGAAGAAGCUGCGGCUAACUACUACGUGCACAGCGCGGUAAUAC
This 483-nucleotide ribosomal RNA is filed under the name uncultured bacterium. RNAcentral's name for it is "bacterial SSU rRNA". It matches the Rfam family "Bacterial small subunit ribosomal RNA", at positions 8 to 526 of the family's 1533-position model. The record is from RNAcentral.